UACGGGGAUGGCGAGCGUUACUCGGAUUUAUUGGGUGUAAAGGGCAGGUAGGCGGCUAUGUAAGUUGAAGGUGAAAUCCUUUGGCUCAACCAAAGAACUGCCUUCAAAACUGCACAGCUUGAGGCUAGAAGAGGAAAGCGGAAUUCCCGGUGUAAGGGUGAAAUCUGUAGAUAUCGGGAGGAACACCUGUGGCGAAAGCGGCUUUCUGGUCUAGCCCUGACGCUAAUCUGCGAAAGCUAGGGGAGCAAACAGG
RNAcentral lists this ribosomal RNA (253 nucleotides) under uncultured bacterium. Its description in RNAcentral is "partial 16S ribosomal RNA". It matches the Rfam family "Bacterial small subunit ribosomal RNA", at positions 524 to 776 of the family's 1533-position model. The record is from RNAcentral.